AGCUCAGCAGGUAGAGCACAGGACUUGUACACCUGACAUCCCAGGUUUGAUUUCUGG
This 57-nucleotide transfer RNA is filed under the name Erinaceus europaeus (western European hedgehog). It matches the Rfam family "tRNA", at positions 9 to 63 of the family's 71-position model. From Rfam's summary of the family: Transfer RNA (tRNA) molecules are approximately 80 nucleotides in length. Their secondary structure includes four short double-helical elements and three loops (D, anti-codon, and T loops). Further hydrogen bonds mediate the characteristic L-shaped molecular structure. tRNAs have two regions of fundamental functional importance: the anti-codon, which is responsible for specific mRNA codon recognition, and the 3' end, to which the tRNAs corresponding amino acid is attached (by aminoacyl-tRNA synthetases). tRNAs cope with the degeneracy of the genetic code in two manners: having more than one tRNA (with a specific anti-codon) for a particular amino acid; and 'wobble' base-pairing, i.e. permitting non-standard base-pairing at the 3rd anti-codon position. Lineage: Eukaryota; Metazoa; Chordata; Mammalia; Eulipotyphla; Erinaceidae. The record is from Rfam by way of RNAcentral.